GUUCUUUUGAAUAUAAUUUAAGAUCGGGCCUGCUCGAUGACAAGGGUUAAAUGGCUGCAGUAUUUUGACUGUACUAAGGUAGCAUAAUCAUUAGUUUCUUAAUUGGAAACUGGAAUGAAAGGUUUGAUGAAAAAAUAACUGUCUCUUUUAUAUAAAUAGAAUUUUAUUUUUGAGUUAAAAAGCUUAAAUUUAGUUAAAAGACGAGAAGACCCUAUAGAGUUUUAUAAUUUGUUGAUUUUUAUUAAUGAAGUUAAAAAUUUAUUUUAAUCAUUAAGGUUAUUUGAUUGGGGUGAUUUAAAAAUUAAUUAAACUUUUUAAAAAUAUAACUUAAAUUUAAGGUUUGUUUGAUCCGUUUCUAACGAUUAAAAGAAUAAAUUACCUUAGGGAUAACAGCAUAAUCUUUUUUAAGAGUUCAAAUCGAUAAAAAGGAUUGUGA
This 436-nucleotide ribosomal RNA is filed under the name Cryptocephalus octoguttatus. RNAcentral describes it as "partial 16S large subunit ribosomal RNA". It matches the Rfam family "Bacterial large subunit ribosomal RNA", at positions 1829 to 2523 of the family's 2925-position model. The record is from RNAcentral. Lineage: Eukaryota; Metazoa; Arthropoda; Insecta; Coleoptera; Chrysomelidae.